CUUCACUUAUUCCUAACGCUAUUAACUUUGAUGUCUUUCAGGCUGUCACGUGAUUCAAGAGUAUUAAUGAUAUACAAAAGUUUGCUUUAUGGCAAGUCAGGUAACCACAAAUUUUGGGCAAUGAUAGGGAUGUGCAGUGGUGGUCUCUUAAAAGAAUUUUGUGUUCCAGCGUAGCUAUUUCCACUGCAAACUAUCAAAUCAUUACAAACUACUGGGAACAUGCUCCAUCUUAUUAUCGAAGCCUGUAUCUCGAGAAAGUUGAUCGAUACAUCUGCUUAUUUAUGGCCUGGUUAUGUUGUACCAUCUGGGACUUUAAAAGAUACAACUUUGCCCCAAGAAUCCCCUUGGUUAAACUUUAUGAAAGGGUCUCGACUUUCAGGACCCCUUAUUGAUGCUCUGGUCGCAUCUCCUGCUUCAAGUUCAAGCUCUGCAAGGUGAGGUCUGUUCAGUUUGGCCAGAAAGGCAUCCCCUACCUGAACACCUACGAUGGCCGCACCAUCCGCUACCCCGACCCGUUCAUCAAGGCCAACGACACCAUCAAGAUUGAUCUAGAGACCAACAAGAUCAUGGACUUCUUCAAGUUUGACGUCAGCAACGUGGUCAUGGUGACCGGCGGGAGGAACACCGGGCGUGUAGGAGUGAUCAAGAACUGGGAGAAGCACAAGGGCAGCUUCGAGGUCAUCGACGUGCUGCUUGGAGCUUUUUGCAUGCUAUGUCUAGUUUUUCUCCUAUUUGUUGUACAAGAAAACAUAGAAUGGAAUUCAAAUUUGGUGGUCGCAAAAGUGUGGAGACUUGAAUUCAUAUAAAGUUAGGCUUAACAUUAGUGCAAAAAA
Zea mays is the source of this 833-nucleotide RNA transcript. It is a transcript of the gene named mediator of RNA polymerase II transcription subunit 33A-like, with no coding region annotated. The transcript has 3 exons. The record is from RefSeq and is a predicted model, not a curated record. Lineage: Eukaryota; Viridiplantae; Streptophyta; Magnoliopsida; Poales; Poaceae.